UAAGACGAACCGUGCGAACGUUAUUCGGAAUCAUUGGGCUUAAAGGGCGCGUAGGCGGCGAUAUAAGUUGGAAGUGAAAUCCCAUCGGCUCAACCGUGGAAUAGCUCCCAGUACUGUAUCGCUCGAGGGGGAUAGGGGUCUGCGGAACUACCGGUGGAGCGGUGAAAUGUGUUGAUAUCGGUGGGAACG
RNAcentral lists this ribosomal RNA (189 nucleotides) under uncultured bacterium. RNAcentral's name for it is "partial 16S ribosomal RNA". It matches the Rfam family "Bacterial small subunit ribosomal RNA", at positions 521 to 708 of the family's 1533-position model. The record is from RNAcentral.